RNAcentral lists this unclassified non-coding RNA (231 nucleotides) under Hevea brasiliensis (rubber tree). Lineage: Eukaryota; Viridiplantae; Streptophyta; Magnoliopsida; Malpighiales; Euphorbiaceae. The record is from RNAcentral.
GAUUGAUUAUAGCCUUUGUAAAUUAAAUUGUAUUUAACUAUGUAUAGUUUUUGCUAGGUCUUGUGGGUCAAUGGUAUUAUUUAGAGAUAAUUGUUAGGCUGUGCAAGUUUUCAAAAUUCAAAUUCUUGUCAUGAAUAUGAAUCUUGUGAUAAAUUUUCUGAAUAUAUUUGGUGCAGGGCUCUAGCACUAAUUUAUAUUUAGUUUAAAUCCAGGCAGACAAGAACCCUGCCA